UACGCACCGCCCGUCACAUCAUGGGAGUUGGUUUUACCCGAAGUUGCUGACCCAAGCCGUAAGGCAGGGAGGUGCCUAAGGUAAGGCCGAUGACUGGGAUG
RNAcentral lists this ribosomal RNA (101 nucleotides) under uncultured bacterium. RNAcentral's name for it is "partial 16S ribosomal RNA". It matches the Rfam family "Bacterial small subunit ribosomal RNA", at positions 1384 to 1482 of the family's 1533-position model. The record is from RNAcentral.